This 542-nucleotide long non-coding RNA is filed under the name Sarcophilus harrisii (Tasmanian devil). Its description in RNAcentral is "lncRNA (ENSSHAG00000028156.1)". Lineage: Eukaryota; Metazoa; Chordata; Mammalia; Dasyuromorphia; Dasyuridae. The record is from RNAcentral.
CCAGAAAUAGAGACUUUCCCUGCCUACCUUCUAAAUUGACUUGGAUUAGAAAAUUGUUUCACUUCUUUCUUUUCUAAAAGUCCACCUUCUUCAAAAAACAUGGAGAAUAGUCAAUGAAACACCUGGAAUUGGGAGAUAGGGUGUCUUAUGAGAAAAAAAAGGAAGCAGUGCAUUGUACCUGAAAGGAGAAGACACAAGAAAACUAUAAAGGGAAGAAGAUGGACAUUUAAUGAAACAAGUGAAUUCCAUUUGUUUCUAAUGAAAAAAACAAAGCUAAACAAAAAAUUUGACCUCCAACUAUAUGACUUAAGAGAAGCAGAAAAAGGUAAAAUCAGUGUCUACCCCUUGUGGGGUGAGGGAAUAUUCUUCCGUGAAGGAGGGAGUACAGCAGGGACCCCCACAGCUAAACCUUGAAGGUCAAUUAUACUCACUAUACUCCAUGUAUAGAAUAGUAUUGGAGAUGGCUGUGCUGAAUAGGACUUCUAAAAAAACAAAUUCUCCAAUGUUAUUUCGUGUAUUUUUUACUUUGCCCAGUAUCUCUG